Molecule: long non-coding RNA, 990 nt
Organism: Cyprinus carpio carpio
Lineage: Eukaryota; Metazoa; Chordata; Actinopteri; Cypriniformes; Cyprinidae
Source: Ensembl
AGAAAAAACUUUUAGCGAACUAACAAAAAGAGUCUUGUUAGUGAAGCAGUUAUCCAGUGCACCCUCAUCCCAGUGGAAUGCGUUGAAGUGAGAGUCAUGCAGUUCACCGGGCCUAGUCUGCGUAGAGAUAUUUACACGCCAUUUAACACAUUAAGGACUUGCUAAAUUGUCAUCGCACUACAUUCUGUCUAUUUCCGGGUGAAAUCACAGCUCAGAAGUUCGGGUGUUUGUGGACUGUUGACAAAAUAGCGGUUACGUGUGGAAAGGGAGGGUGUACAAAGCAAACAGGGAAAAAAAAUCGAGCGAUCGCUUGUUUCUCUCAGCCUGCUGAAAGAAGCAGGAAGCGAACUAGAGCUGUUCACCUACACCGUUUCGAAUGAAAGACUGCAGUGGACAUUUGAAGGGGAAGAGAGCUCAGCUUUUGCCUUCUUACUGUGAUUGAAACCUGACCGGUAUUUGGAGUUCAAUCCGAGACGCGGACAGUUAACUUUUAACAUUUCGUUUCGGUGAAUUCUAUAGAACUGGCGUCGGACAUUCCAUUCCAGUUGGAAUAACGUGUUCUAAAGAUGCAGCAUCCUCUUCAUCCCAUCAUGGAGCAGGCUGAGAUAUAAGAGACUGUAGAGACAGCAGGAAAGGGGCGACGUUUAUCUCAUUGGCUCAGGCGAUUCCAGACCCCAUCAUCUUCGUGAGGGCAUUCGUGCCGUUCACUCUUUCCAGCUUCCUGGAUGAGGAAACCCUCAUGUCACAUACCAUCAGCCUAAGGAGCUCCAGUGCCAGCACCAUGUGACAGACAUUUACCGCUAAUCACGGAACCGGCUUUACUGAUGAGACAUGCAUGACAAAUGCAUGCGAUUAAUCGUGCAAACUCCAUGUGGGCUUUCAUGUGUCUUGCACUGAGGAGAGGCUUCCGUUGGGCCACUCUGCCAUAAAGCCCCGACUGGUGGAGGGCUGCAGUGGUGGUUGACUUUCUACAACUUUCUCCCAUUUCCC